This 861-nucleotide non-coding RNA is filed under the name Acanthopleura vaillantii. Lineage: Eukaryota; Metazoa; Mollusca; Polyplacophora; Chitonida; Chitonidae. The record is from RNAcentral.
UAAAAAUUUGAUUUUGGUUUGGGCUUGGCUGUGACUAGUGUUAACACAUGAUAGUUUUGUCGAGUCUGUAAAUGGUGCCCAUCAUCUUUUUCCUUAGAUAGGAAAGAAGGGUUGAUUGGUUUGUUUUAUCAGAUGAGUUGAUAACGAAAAUAUUUACAACAUCAGUGUAGGAUUUUAAUAGAAAAAAGAGAUUUAGUUUUAGAGAUAGUUUUUAAGGGUAGUUAAAUUUGUGCCAGCAACUGCGGUUAAACAAUGGGCUUUAGUCAAGUGUUAGGCGGUAAAAAUAGUUAUAUUAAUAAAGUUAUUUUUUGUUUUGUAGAGAGGUAAAAUUUUAAUAUACUGAUGAAAACUUAGAGUAACUAUGUGUAGAGUCUAUGAAACUUUUAAUUAAAACUGGGAUUAGAUACCCCAUUAUUAGAAGUUUAAAUUAUUUACCAGGGUACUAUGAGCUAUAGCUUGAAAUCCAAAGGAUUUGGCGGUGCUUUAGUUUCUAUCCAGGGGAACCUGUUCUUUAAAUCGAUAUUCCGCGUUUUACCUUACUUUCUUUAUUUAGAAAAAUUGGUUUGUAUACUGCCGUCGUCAGUUUACGCUUUAGGCUAGAAUAGUAAACUAGAAAAUCUUAAGGUUUUGAUGUCAGGUCAAAGUGCAGCUGAUGAGAAAGCAGAAAUGGGUUACGAUUUUGAUUGAGAGAUCUGUAAUUUUACUGAAAUGUAGAAUGAUAGAAGGACUUGGAAGUAAUGUUUUGUUAGAACUAAAAUAUGAACAGAGCUCUAGGGCAUGUACAUAUCGCCCGUCGCUUUCUUAGGAAUAAGGGAUAAGUCGUAACAUAGUAGGGGUAGCUGAAGCUGUUCCUUAAGGUAU